UAAGAGGUCCCGCCUGCCCUGUGACUCUAGUAGUUUAACGGCUGCGGUAUUUUGACCGUGCAAAGGUAGCGCAAUCACUUGUCUUUUAAAUAAAGACCUGUAUGAAUGGCAUGACGAGGGCUUAACUGUCUCCUUUCCCCAGUCAAUGAAAUUGAUCUCCCCGUGAGGAAGCGGGGAUACGACUAUAAGACGAGAAGACCCUGUGGAGCUUUAAACACUAGAUGAGCCCGUGUCAAGCACUCCAAAGUACUAAAAGUGAAACAAAAUGGACCCUUUUCUAAUGUUUUUGGUUGGGGCGACCGCGGGGUAAUAAAAAACCCCCACGUGGAAUGAGAGUACUUCUCCUACAACUAAGAGCAACCGCUCUAAUUAACGGAAUUUCCGACCAACAAUGAUCCGGCCAAGCCGAUCAACGGACCGAGUUACCCCAGGGAUAACAGCGCAAUCCCCUUUUAGAGACCUUAUCGCCAAGGGGGUUUACGACCUCGAUGUUGGAUCAGGACAUCCUAAUGGUGUAGCCGCUAUUAAGGGUUCGUUUGUUCAACG
Molecule: ribosomal RNA, 546 nt
Filed under: Ogcocephalus nasutus (shortnose batfish)
Lineage: Eukaryota; Metazoa; Chordata; Actinopteri; Lophiiformes; Ogcocephalidae
Description: partial 16S large subunit ribosomal RNA
Rfam family: Bacterial large subunit ribosomal RNA
Source: RNAcentral